UACGAAGGGGGCUAGCGUUGCUCGGAUUGACUGGGCGUAAAGGGCGCGUAGGCGGUUCGUACAGUCAGACGUGAAAUUCCUGGGCUCAACCUGGGGGCUGCGUUUGAUACGUGCGGGCUUGAGUCCGGAAGAGGGUCGUGGAAUUCCCAGUGUAGAGGUGAAAUUCGUAGAUAUUGGGAAGAACACCGGUGGCGAAGGCGGCGACCUGGUCCGGUACUGACGCUGAGGCGCGAAAGCGUGGGGAGCAAACAGG
This 253-nucleotide ribosomal RNA is filed under the name uncultured bacterium. RNAcentral's name for it is "partial 16S ribosomal RNA". It matches the Rfam family "Bacterial small subunit ribosomal RNA", at positions 524 to 776 of the family's 1533-position model. The record is from RNAcentral.